RNAcentral lists this transfer RNA (65 nucleotides) under Homarus gammarus (European lobster). RNAcentral's name for it is "tRNA-Asp". The record is from RNAcentral. Lineage: Eukaryota; Metazoa; Arthropoda; Malacostraca; Decapoda; Nephropidae.
GAAAAGUUAGUUAAUUAAUAAUAUGAGCUUGUCAAGCUCAAGUAAUUCCGUUGGAACACUUUUUG